UACGGAGGAUGCAAGCGUUAUCCGGAUUUAUUGGGUUUAAAGGGUGCGCAGGCGGCUUUUAUAAGUCAGUGGUGAAAUCGGAUGGCUCAACUAUCCAACUGCCAUUGAUACUGUAGAGCUAGAGUACAGAUGGGGUAGGCGGAAUGUAGCAUGUAGCGGUGAAAUGCAUAGAUAUGCUACAGAACACCAAUCGCGAAGGCAGCUUACCAAGCUGUUACUGACGCUCAGGCACGAAAGCGUGGGUAGCGAACAGG
This 254-nucleotide ribosomal RNA is filed under the name uncultured bacterium. RNAcentral describes it as "partial 16S ribosomal RNA". It matches the Rfam family "Bacterial small subunit ribosomal RNA", at positions 524 to 776 of the family's 1533-position model. The record is from RNAcentral.